GACAGAGGGUGCAAACGUUGUUCGGAUUUACUGGGCGUAAAGCGCGUGUAGGCGGCUUUGCAAGUCGGGUGUGAAAGCCCUCAGCUCAACUGAGGAAGUGCGCCCGAAACUGCAGAGCUUGAGUACCGGAGAGGGUGGCGGAAUUCCCCAAGUAGAGGUGAAAUUCGUAGAUAUGGGGAGGAACACCGGUGGCGAAGGCGGCCACCUGGACGGUCACUGACGCUGAGACGCGAAAGCGUGGGGAGCAAACAGG
RNAcentral lists this ribosomal RNA (253 nucleotides) under uncultured bacterium. Its description in RNAcentral is "partial 16S ribosomal RNA". It matches the Rfam family "Bacterial small subunit ribosomal RNA", at positions 524 to 776 of the family's 1533-position model. The record is from RNAcentral.